GCCAAAUGAUGCGAAACAUAUUAUUGCUGAGAUUUUCUUUGAGGACUAACAAAAUCGAGCUUUUUAAAACUGAUGGAA
Molecule: small nucleolar RNA, 78 nt
Filed under: Setaria italica (foxtail millet)
Lineage: Eukaryota; Viridiplantae; Streptophyta; Magnoliopsida; Poales; Poaceae
Also listed under: 1 other name
Source: RNAcentral